UACGGAGGAUGCGAGCGUUAUCCGGAUUUAUUGGGUUUAAAGGGUGCGUAGGCGGGCUUUUAAGUCAGCGGUAAAAAUUCGGGGCUCAACCCCGUCCGGCCGUUGAAGCUGGGGGUCUUGAGUGGGCGAGAAGAAGGCGGAAUGCGUGGUGUAGCGGUGAAAUGCAUAGAUAUCACGCAGAACCCCGAUUGCGAAGGCAGCCUUCCGGCGCCCUACUGACGCUGAGGCACGAAAGUGUGGGGAGCAAACAGG
Molecule: ribosomal RNA, 252 nt
Filed under: uncultured bacterium
Lineage: Bacteria
Description: partial 16S ribosomal RNA
Rfam family: Bacterial small subunit ribosomal RNA
Source: RNAcentral